UACGUAGGGGGCAAGCGUUGUCCGGAUUUAUUGGGCGUAAAGGGCGCGUAGGUGGCCUUCUAAGUCGAACGUGAAAUCCCUGGGCUCAACCCAGGAACUGCGUCCGAGACUGGGAGGCUUGAGUCCGGGAGAGGGAUGCGGAAUUCCAGGUGUAGCGGUGAAAUGCGUAGAUAUCGAGAGGAACACCGGCGGCGAAGGCGGGUUGCUGGGCUGACACUGACGCUGAUGCGCGAAAGCCAGGGGAGCGAACGGG
RNAcentral lists this ribosomal RNA (253 nucleotides) under uncultured bacterium. RNAcentral's name for it is "partial 16S ribosomal RNA". It matches the Rfam family "Bacterial small subunit ribosomal RNA", at positions 524 to 776 of the family's 1533-position model. The record is from RNAcentral.